Molecule: long non-coding RNA, 1638 nt
Organism: Zonotrichia albicollis (white-throated sparrow)
Lineage: Eukaryota; Metazoa; Chordata; Aves; Passeriformes; Passerellidae
Source: Ensembl
UCUUUUGCAGCAUUAAUUAAAUCUCCCAAAAGACUGUUUAGAAUACACAACUCAAGGUUGGUUACGCAGAACCUAUUCCAGAGGCUUCACAAGGAUUUGCACACUGUUCACAGCUAUACAUAUUUUCACCCUGACUGAGUACACUUUCGGGACUGAUGUUUCCAGCAACUUCGAGUUGGCCUAAGCACAAGCUCUCUGUACUAUUAUUUUCUCUCUCUAAUUAUGGGAGAUGGUUUAGCUGCUAAGCAAGUAUUGCUGUAAUUUUUCUUGUUAAUAUGUUGUUAGACUAGAAAUUCACUUGUGGCAACAGCUUUUAAGUGUGUCUUUUACAACAAGGAUGCCUGGCAGUGUGGUUACUGCUGACUUACCAUGAUGAAAGAACAGUAACUGAUGUUUUUACAAUCCAUUCUCAUGUACCAUACACAAACAUGCCAAUGUUGACAAGUGGUGAAAUUGUGUAAUUUCAAUUUUGACAUCAGUGAGGAUAAAAAAAUGAUUUAUCAUCUUAGUUCUUAGAGCUUAAAGCUGGAACUUCUGAAGUUGCUGAAAGCAGCUGAAGGUGUACCAGUUCAUGGGACCCGAUGAGAUGCAUCCACAGCUCCUGAGAGAACUGGAGAUGCGUGCAAAACCUUCCCUGAAGAUUUUUGAUAACUUCAGCAGCUUGUCACUGGGACUCAGCUCUCUCCUUUAAAAUAGUUCAUUUUAUAAAUGGCAAUUCAAUACAUUUUAUAAAAGGAAAUCAUUAUCAACUAGACAUGGGGAUAGCAGUGGAUUUUUUUUUUCCUACUGCACAUACUCAAUUGCUUCACGGAAUUUCAUUUCACAGUUGGAAACUUGACUCCUGACUAGAGCUGUAUGAUACUGCCAAUUUUUGCUUUGACUGUUCAAGUGUAAAAAUAGCUAACUUUGCAAGAAUACAGCAUGUUUAAUUCAGCUCAAGGGUGUCACGUUAUUGUAGAGCAAGUGGUCCUUGUCUUUGAAAAUAACCAGGCUGAAGUAAUGGAAAUGUGAAACAGGAAAAUGUCAUUUGCCUAAACCUACUCAGGUUGAAUCAAGGGUUAUUUAUUGCUUGUCUUCAUUAUAAAUUAAGAUUAUGAAUGGCUAAUUCUUAUUUAAAAUUACACAAAAAUGAACAGAUUGAUGGCCCAUUGUACUUAUUGUUUCCUACUGUUCUGGUAGCACACAGCACAGUGAAAUCCAGGUAAACGUGUUUCCUUAUGGUUCCUCAGAGCAGAGAGCAGGGCUGGGACAGCUGGGACAUGAAUUUCUGCAGGGGAUGAUACUUUUGUUUUGGAAGAACAAGCACAUGGCUGUGUACCUGUUGCUGAGUCUUGCUUGAAACUGCGUGUAGAACUUCUUUCAAAACAAUUUUUCAGAUAAAUAGGCAGCAUGGGUGGAUUUGUUCUUGAGGCUUCAGCUCUGUGAGUGAGAAUUCAGGGACAGGCUGUAGGAAUAUGGGGCAGAUACACAAAGUUUCUCUAAGAAACUGACUUCCCUCACAGCUUUUACUGACAUGCAUAAUGUCACGCAUCAACUUAACUUCUCAUACAAAAUUUUUGUCACCAAUCACACUUUCUCCUAGAUUAUGCCUAAAGUGUUAGAAUUGCACAUGUAGGAUGAGAGCACUGAAGUUUCUUG